CCCUUAGAUGUUCUGGGCCGCACGCGUGCUACACUGAGUGGAUCAGCGGGUCAGGUUGCGCGAAAGCGUUUCCUAAUCUUUAAAUCCGCUCGUGAUGGGGAUUGACGGUUGCAAUUUUCUGUCAUGAACGAGGAAUACCUUGUAAGCGCGGGUCAUCAUCCCGCGCUGAAUACGUCCCUGCCCUUUGUACACACCGCCCGUCGCUCCUACCGAUUGAUUGGUCCGGUGAGGCUUUGGGAUCUGAGCGGAAAGAGCGUUUCGCUGUUUCUGCUCGGAAAACUCAGUCGAACCUUAUCAUUUAGAGGAAGGAGAAGUCGUAACA
Molecule: ribosomal RNA, 322 nt
Filed under: uncultured eukaryote
Lineage: Eukaryota
Description: partial 18S ribosomal RNA
Rfam family: Eukaryotic small subunit ribosomal RNA
Source: RNAcentral